Molecule: ribosomal RNA, 302 nt
Filed under: uncultured bacterium
Lineage: Bacteria
Description: partial 16S ribosomal RNA
Rfam family: Bacterial small subunit ribosomal RNA
Source: RNAcentral
GCAGUCGCCACGGUAAUACAGAGGGUGCGAGCGUUAAUCGGAUUUACUGGGCGUAAAGCGUGCGUAGGCGGCUUCUUAAGUCGGAUGUGAAAUCCCUGAGCUUAACUUAGGAAUUGCAUUCGAUACUGGGAAGCUAGAGUAUGGGAGAGGAUGGUAGAAUUCCAGGUGUAGCGGUGAAAUGCGUAGAGAUCUGGAGGAAUACCGAUGGCGAAGGCAGCCAUCUGGCCUAAUACUGACGCUGAGGUACGAAAGCAUGGGGAGCAAACAGGAUUAGAGACCCCUGUAGUCCCUGUCUCUUAUAC